GGAGGGAAUAUUGGUUAAUGUGCGAAAGCGCGAACCAGCAACGCCGCGUGUACGAUGAAGGCCUUCGGGUUGUAAAGUACUUUUCACCGGGAAGAGGAAGGACGGUACCGGUGGAAUAAGUCUCGGCUAACUACGUGCCAGCAGCCGCGGUAACACGUAGGAGACGAGCGUUAUCCGGAUUUACUGGGUGUAAAGCGCGUGCAGGCGGUUUGUUAAGUUGGAUGUGAAAGCUCCCGGCUAAACUGGGAGAGGUCGUUCAAAACUAGCAGACUAGAGUGUGGUAGAGGGGAGUGGAAUUCCGAGUGUAGCGGUAAAAUGCAUAGAUAUUCGGAAGAACACCAGUGGCGAAGGCGACUUCCUGGACCACAACUGACGCUCAGACGCGAAAGCCAGGGUAGCAAACGGGAUUAGAAACCCCAGUAGUCC
RNAcentral lists this ribosomal RNA (426 nucleotides) under uncultured bacterium. RNAcentral's name for it is "bacterial SSU rRNA". It matches the Rfam family "Bacterial small subunit ribosomal RNA", at positions 354 to 796 of the family's 1533-position model. The record is from RNAcentral.